This 274-nucleotide ribosomal RNA is filed under the name uncultured bacterium. Its description in RNAcentral is "partial 16S ribosomal RNA". It matches the Rfam family "Bacterial small subunit ribosomal RNA", at positions 523 to 796 of the family's 1533-position model. The record is from RNAcentral.
AUACGGAGGGUGCAAGCGUUAAUCGGAAUUACUGGGCGUAAAGCGUACGUAGGCGGUUAUUUAAGUCAGAUGUGAAAGCCCCGGGCUUAACUUGGGAACUGCAUUUAAAACUGGGUAACUAGAGUUUAGUAGAGGGGAGUGGAAUUUCAGGUGUAGCGGUGAAAUGCGUAGAGAUCUGAAGGAACACCAGUGGCGAAGGCGACUCCCUGGACUAAAACUGACGCUGAGGUACGAAAGCGUGGGUAGCAAACAGGAUUAGAUACCCUAGUAGUCC